Molecule: ribosomal RNA, 253 nt
Filed under: uncultured bacterium
Lineage: Bacteria
Description: partial 16S ribosomal RNA
Rfam family: Bacterial small subunit ribosomal RNA
Source: RNAcentral
UACGGAGGGGGUUAGCGUUGUUCGGAAUGACUGGGCGUAAAGCGCGCGUAGGCGGAUCGGAAAGUUGGGGGUGAAAUCCCGGGGCUCAACCCCGGAAUGGCCUUCAAGACUCCUGGUCUUGAGUUCGAGAGAGGUGAGUGGAAUUCCGAGUGUAGAGGUGAAAUUCGUAGAUAUUCGGAGGAACACCAGUGGCGAAGGCGGCUCACUGGCUCGACACUGACGCUGAGGUGCGAAAGCGUGGGGAGCAAACGGG